CGGGAUGUUGCGCAGUCCGGUAGCGCAUCGGUUUUGGGUACCGGGGGUCGCAGGUUCGAAUCCUGCCAUCCCG
This 73-nucleotide transfer RNA is filed under the name Bracteacoccus minor. RNAcentral describes it as "tRNA-Pro". It matches the Rfam family "tRNA". From Rfam's summary of the family: Transfer RNA (tRNA) molecules are approximately 80 nucleotides in length. Their secondary structure includes four short double-helical elements and three loops (D, anti-codon, and T loops). Further hydrogen bonds mediate the characteristic L-shaped molecular structure. tRNAs have two regions of fundamental functional importance: the anti-codon, which is responsible for specific mRNA codon recognition, and the 3' end, to which the tRNAs corresponding amino acid is attached (by aminoacyl-tRNA synthetases). tRNAs cope with the degeneracy of the genetic code in two manners: having more than one tRNA (with a specific anti-codon) for a particular amino acid; and 'wobble' base-pairing, i.e. permitting non-standard base-pairing at the 3rd anti-codon position. Lineage: Eukaryota; Viridiplantae; Chlorophyta; Chlorophyceae; Sphaeropleales; Bracteacoccaceae. The record is from RNAcentral.